CCUAAGGUAGCGAAAUUCCUUGUCGGGUAAGUUCCGACCUGCACGAAUGGCGUAAUGAUGGCCAGGCUGUCUCCACCCGAGACUCAGUGAAAUUGAACUCGCUGUGAAGAUGCAGUGUACCCGCGGCAAGACGGAAAGACCCCGUGAACCUUUACUAUAGCUUGACACUGAACAUUGAGCCUUGAUGUGUAGGAUAGGUGGGAGGCUUUGAAGUGUGGACGCCAGUCUGCAUGGAGCCGACCUUGAAAUACCACCCUUUAAUGUUUGAUGUUCUAACGUUGACCCGUAAUCCGGGUUGCGGACAGUGUCUGGUGGGUAGUUUGACUGGGGCGGUCUCCUCCUAAAGAGUAACGGAGGAGCACGAAGGUUGGCUAAUCCUGGUCGGACAUCAGGAGGUUAGUGCAAUGGCAUAAGCCAGCUUGACUGCGAGCGUGACGGCGCGAGCAGGUGCGAAAGCAGGUCAUAGUGAUCCGGUGGUUCUGAAUGGAAGGGCCAUCGCUCAACGGAUAAAAGGUACUCCGGGGAUAACAGGCUGAUACCGCCCAAGAGUUCAUAUCGACGGCGGUGUUUGGCACCUCGAUGUCGGCUCAUCACAUCCUGGGGCUGAAGUAGGUCCCAAGGGUAUGGCUGUUCGCCAUUUAAAGUGGUACGCGAGCUGGGUUUAGAACGUCGUGAGACAGUUCGGUCCCUAUCUGCCGUGGGCGCUGGAGAACUGAGGGGGGCUGCUCCUAGUACGAGAGGACCGGAGUGGACGCAUCACUGGUGUUCGGGUUGUCAUGCCAAUGGCACUGCCCGGUAGCUAAAUGCGGAAGAGAUAAGUGCUGAAAGCAUCUAAGCACGAAACUUGCCCCGAGAUGAGUUCUCCCUGACUCCUUGAGAGUCCUGAAGGAACGUUGAAGACGACGACGUUGAUAGGCCGG
Molecule: ribosomal RNA, 920 nt
Filed under: Escherichia coli O26:H11
Lineage: Bacteria; Pseudomonadati; Pseudomonadota; Gammaproteobacteria; Enterobacterales; Enterobacteriaceae
Description: bacterial LSU rRNA
Rfam family: Bacterial large subunit ribosomal RNA
Source: RNAcentral